Triticum dicoccoides is the source of this 166-nucleotide long non-coding RNA. RefSeq lists it as uncharacterized. The record is from RefSeq and is a predicted model, not a curated record. The transcript has 2 exons. Lineage: Eukaryota; Viridiplantae; Streptophyta; Magnoliopsida; Poales; Poaceae.
AGUAAGGAUCUGAAGCCCCGUUAGAAGUUUUUGUGCACCCUGAAAGGAGCGAAUUGCCUGUAGCAAGUCCUUGAGCUUUUUGUGUCGGGUGUGACUUUUGGUGCACCGUGUAACUUGUUGCUCUGAACCUGAGAUUGUUAACUGAAUAUUCAGACUCUUUACCGAA